CUACGGGAGGCAGCAGUGGGGAAUAUUGCACAAUGGGGGAAACCCUGAUGCAGCGACGCCGCGUGAGUGAAGAAGUAUUUCGGUAUGUAAAGCUCUAUCAGCAGGGAAGAAAAUGACGGUACCUGACUAAGAAGCCCCGGCUAACUACGUGCCAGCAGCCGCGGUAAUACGUAGGGGGCAAGCGUUAUCCGGAUUUACUGGGUGUAAAGGGAGCGUAGACGGUGAGACAAGUCUGAAGUGAAAUCCCGGGGCUCAACCCCGGAACUGCUUUGGAAACUGCCUGACUAGAGUGCAGGAGAGGUAAGUGGAAUUCCUAGUGUAGCGGUGAAAUGCGUAGAUAUUAGGAGGAACACCAGUGGCGAAGGCGGCUUACUGGACUGUAACUGACGUUGAGGCUCGAAAGCGUGGGGAGCAAACAGGAUUAGAUACCCUUGUAGUC
Molecule: ribosomal RNA, 439 nt
Filed under: uncultured bacterium
Lineage: Bacteria
Description: partial 16S ribosomal RNA
Rfam family: Bacterial small subunit ribosomal RNA
Source: RNAcentral